RNAcentral lists this ribosomal RNA (490 nucleotides) under uncultured bacterium. RNAcentral describes it as "partial 16S ribosomal RNA". It matches the Rfam family "Bacterial small subunit ribosomal RNA", at positions 28 to 507 of the family's 1533-position model. The record is from RNAcentral.
GAUGAACGCUAGCUACAGGCUUAACACAUGCAAGUCGCGGGGCAGCAUGGGGGUUGCUUGCAAUCCCCGAUGGCGACCGGCGCACGGGUGAGUAACGCGUAUCCAACCUGCCCUUCACCACGGGAUAACCCGGCGAAAGUCGGACUAAUACCGUAUGUUGUCCAUUGACGGCAUCCGAUUUGGACGAAAGGUUUGGCGGUGAAGGAUGGGGAUGCGUCCGAUUAGCUGGACGGCGGGGUGACGGCCCACCGUGGCGACGAUCGGUAGGGGUUCUGAGAGGAAGGUCCCCCACACUGGAACUGAGACACGGUCCAGACUCCUACGGGAGGCAGCAGUGAGGAAUAUUGGGCAAGGGGCGUAAGCCUGAACCAGCCAAGUAGCGUGCAGGAUGACGGCCCUAUGGGUUGUAAACUGCUUUUAUGCGGGGAUAAAGUGGCCCACGUGUGGGUUUUUGCAGGUACCGCAUGAAUAAGGACCGGCUAAUUCCGUG